AGUACGAUCGCAAGAUUAAAACUCAAAGGAAUUGACGGGGCCCCGCACAAGCAGCGGAGCAUGCGGCUUAAUUCGACGCAACGCGAUGAACCUUACCAAGGCUUGACAUAUACAGGAAUAUGGCAGAGAUGUCAUAGCCGCAAGGUCUGUAUACAGGUGGUGCAUGGUUGUCGUCAGCUCGUGUCGUGAGAUGUUGGGUUAAGUCCCGCAACGAGCGCAACCCUCGUUCUGUGUUGCCAGCAUUUAGUUGGGGACUCACAGGAGACUGCCGGGGUUAACUCGGAGGAAGGUGGGGAUGACGUCAAAUCAUCAUGCCCCUUAUGUCUUGGGCUGCACGCAUGCUACAAUGGCUGGUACAAACGGCUGCAAUACCGCAAGGUGGAGCGAAUCCGAGAAAGCCAGUCUCAGUUCGGAUUGGGGUCUGCAACUCGACCCCAUGAAGUCGGAGUUGCUAGUAAUCGUAGAUCAGCAACGCUACGGUGAAUACGUUCCCGGGGCUUGUACACACCGCCCGUCACAUCACGAAAGUCGGUAACACCCAAAGUCAGUGGCCCAACCGCAAGGAGGGAGCUGCCAAAGGUGGGAUCGGUGAUUGGGAUG
RNAcentral lists this ribosomal RNA (600 nucleotides) under uncultured bacterium. Its description in RNAcentral is "bacterial SSU rRNA". It matches the Rfam family "Bacterial small subunit ribosomal RNA", at positions 879 to 1482 of the family's 1533-position model. The record is from RNAcentral.